This 517-nucleotide ribosomal RNA is filed under the name uncultured Archaeosporaceae. RNAcentral's name for it is "SSU rRNA". It matches the Rfam family "Eukaryotic small subunit ribosomal RNA", at positions 569 to 1092 of the family's 1831-position model. The record is from RNAcentral. Lineage: Eukaryota; Fungi; Glomeromycota; Glomeromycetes; Archaeosporales; Archaeosporaceae.
AGCAGCCGCGGUAAUUCCAGCUCCAAUAGCGUAUAUUAAAGUUGUUGCAGUUAAAAAGCUCGUAGUUGAAUUUUGGGCUUGGCCGAUUGGUCCGUUCUUGAACGAGUACUGGUCGGUUGGGCCUCACCGCUUGAUGAUGCGUAAUGUCCUUUAUUGGGUGUUGCGAGUAGUCAAGACCUUUACCUUGAAAAAAUUAGAGUGUUUAAAGCAGGCUUAUGCCGGAAUACAUUAGCAUGGAAUAAUAGAAUAGGACAAUGAUUCUAUUUUGUUGGUUUCUAGGACCAUUGUAAUGAUUAAUAGGGAUAGUUGGGGGCAUUAGUAUUCAAUUGUCAGAGGUGAAAUUCUUGGAUUUAUUGAAGACUAACUACUGCGAAAGCAUUUGCCAAGGAUGUUUUCAUUAAUCAAGAACGAAAGUUAGGGGAUCGAAGACGAUCAGAUACCGUCGUAGUCUUAACCAUAAACUAUGCCGACUAGGGAUCGGGCGAAGUUGUUUCAAUGACUCGCUCGGCACCUUAUG